RNAcentral lists this long non-coding RNA (26822 nucleotides) under Nicotiana tabacum (common tobacco). RNAcentral's name for it is "long non-coding RNA (NTAB_LNC000017)". Lineage: Eukaryota; Viridiplantae; Streptophyta; Magnoliopsida; Solanales; Solanaceae. The record is from RNAcentral.
GAUCUACACCUCUCCCUCUUCCGGUUGUAUCUUUCUUUGUAAUUAUCUUUUGUAGGCCGAGGGGUAAAGCACUUUUGCCUUGACCCCUAGAAGGUUCACCCCUCCAUUUUGAAGUAUCACCUUUGCAUCUAGAUUGAACCAUUUUUUGUAUCAAUUAAAGGUAAUUAUUAGUUGUAAUUCGAGUUCAAACAUACAGAGAGAUAUGUAAAGACACACUGGAAAAUACACUAAGGAACACAGUUGAAACAUGCUUGCAGGAUAAGGAUCUGCCCUCCAUACAUUUUUCCUUGCGGCUGCAGAUUGGGCCUUCCAGACCGCACAAUUCUCUCUUAUGGCUGUAUAUAUGGAUUGCGGUCCGCAUAUUCUUCCUUGCGGCUGCAACUCAUAAACCAAAUGUCCAAAUGCACACCUCAAAAGAGAUAUGACCCGGUCGCAUGCAAUAAUAAAACCCAACUAAGAGUUGGAGUCGAAUCCGUAGGGAGCUAAGAUAGGAGCUAGUAGUAUAUAUUCGGAAUGAGCAAGUGAAGUAUCUUGAUUACACUUCCACAAAGAGGUUUUUGUUUCUAUUUCUAAUGUUAAUCUUAGGAUUAUACAAUAAAGAUAGAAGACUAGAGAUAAUUGUUUUUGAGGUUUUUUUCAAAUAUAUAAAAAGUCUAGAGCUGUGACCAUGACCUAGGUAUUUGCCUAAUGGGAUAAAGAAUUUUAUACUCAUUUUUUUCAUUGGGGUGUAUUAUAGCCCACUCAAUAUCUCUAGAUCAGAGAGUGAAUUUGCGCAAUUUGGCAUUCUCAAGACCAAAUGGGUAUCAACCAAAACAGUUGAUAAGAGCUCAAGUCGGGUUGUUACUAUCUCUAGGUUGAACUCUUUAAUUGGGUUAAUCAAUCUCUCAAUUGACCCAAUUCCUUGUUAGCUAAGUUAUCCUAGACUAGGUCCCUCUUUAUCAAGUAGAGACUAAGUUAAAUAGGCAUGAAUCAAUAUUUGCAACCAUCCAUUCUACAAUUGAAGCAUGAACUAAGCUAAAUAAUAAACACCCAAUCAUAAACAAGCAUAAAAUUAAUCACCCAUAAGGUUUACACACUAGGGUUGGGUCAUAACCCUAGUAAAAAUCUAGCUACUCAUAGUGGGUAUUGAAGAAAACAAAGAAGAAAAGCUAAUAAAACUCAUAUUUUAAGAUUAAAAUAAAGAAAUCCAAUGUUAAUACACCAAAAUAAGCUAAAACUUCCUAAAAUGGCAAAGAGAAAUGGCUACAGGACUUUCAGAUGUUCAAACUUGACCUAAUUUUUUUAAACUCGUCUAUUUAUACAAGAUUGAAAAUCGCGAAAAAAAAUACCCCUCGGGAGGUUUUGUGAGCACACAAUUCCUUGUGCGGUCUACAGAGUACAUCUGUCAGGAACUAGGGGUCUGCGGCCGCACAUUUCUGAACUGCGGCCGCGAGGCAAUUCUUCUACGGUCCGCACAAUUAUGACUACGACUGCAAGGCAUUCUUCUGCGGCCGCACAGUUCUUGUGUGGUCCGCACUUUGCACAAAUGUCUGCUAGAUUCUUCUUCUUGGUUUGCGGCCACAAAAGGAUUUCUCUGGUCCGCAAGUUCUUCUGCGGACCGCACUUUUUAAGCUUUUGUGCCUUUUAUUUUCUUGUGCCUCGGAUUAUUCCUUUUUAGUCGGAUUUCCUCUCGGGAGAUCAACUUCCAUCAUUCCUACAAUUUUGCACAAUUUCAUCAGUUUUGGGGAUACAAUUCAAUGCUUUUAGGCUAAAACAAAAGCUAAAAGGCGCUAAUAAGCAGUCAAAAUCUCCACUUAUCAGUGUACAUAGGUUGGGUUGGUUCGGAUUUUUCAAUUACAAAAUCAAACCAAUGGUGUCAGGUUUUUAAAUCUAUAAACCAAAAUGUGUAACUUGUGCUCCAAAUAUUUCUUUAGUCCUAGUGCGAUACAACUAUAUAAUGUAUUCUCACGACUCGGAAUCCCACCGUCGGGAUCGUGAUGGAUCAUAACAUUUUACUUGCUAGGCAAGCUAACGUUAGCUAAAUUACUUAACAAAUUUUAACAAUUCAAAUCAAAACAUUGGCAAUAAUAACCUUAAUAGUCUAAAAUAGAGUAAUAUAAUGCUAUAUAACAUAAUCUAAACACAUCCCAGAAUGUGGAGUCACGAAUACAUGAGCAUCUGGAGUGCUACAUGUAAAGUCUGAACGAAUGGAAGAGGCCUUCAGGGCUACGGACGCCGCACAGCUAGACCUCAAGUCUCCAAAUAGUAGCUGAAUCCGAGUAGUCUCGCUACGCGCAGCUGGAACCCACAUGGUAUCUUCACAAGAAGUACAAAGUGUAAUAUAAGUACAAGUGACUCAAUGUACUCUGUAAGUUCCGAGCCUAACUUCACAAAGUAGUGAUGAGGCUAUGGCAAGUCAAUUACAAAUAACAUGUACGAAAGAAUAAUAAUAACAACAAAACGGGAAUAGAAAUAAAGCAAUUAACUCAGGAUAACGGAUCCGAAAUUUCAACUACUAGAGAACCCAGAAUAACAAAGACUCAGGUCUCAUAUCACAGUACCGAGGAUAUCUCAACAAGCACAAAUAAUUACAACAUAUCAAAUCUGUUGUGGUGCGCAACCCGAUCCCGCCAUAUCAUUGUCUGUUCAUAUCAUAAUCCGUCCUUAUUCCUUCAUUUCAUUUCAUUACCUUUCAAUUUCAAUUGCGGUGAGCAACCCGCUCCCCAAACAAUCUCAAUCAUCAACAUAAACAAUUCAACAACAAUAUUUACAAAAUAUCUACAUCAAGAAGGUAAAUAUACAAGAUAGUAAAGAACCAUGGAAUAAUUGAAAAAUCUCUAACAUUGCGAAAUCUGAAACCUUUCCAAUUCAUCGGUACAUAAUAGUUCAACAGCCCACGCAAGUGAGACAACAUUAUAGAAUGCAAAAAAUACUACAUAAACAAUAGAGACAUGUAAAACAUAUGGUAAUUAAGAUAUGCAAUUAAGACAGAUAGAAACAUGUAGUAAAUAAGAAGAAAUAAUGUGGGAAAUGAACAAAGUAAGGCAACGCAACAAUUAAACGCCAAGUAACAAAUAUAGCAUAGAAGUCAAGUAAAGACAUAUAACAAUUAGAGCAUAAAAUAAGAGAUAUCAUGAAAUAAACGAAAACAUAGAAAUAGAUAUCCAACUUUCGCAUGCUAAAUCCCAUGACAACGUAUAUACACCCGUCAACUCACAUAUAUGUCGUUUCCCCAUAUAAUCCACAUAACAAACGAUGCAACAAAUCCUAAUUUCCUCAAGUCAAGGUAUCAACCACGACCUUGCCUUUUGAACAAGCCUCUAAACCAACCAAAUCUAGCAAAUUAUCGAUCAAACGAUUCACAAUAAACUUUAGGAACAACCCAUUAAUGAAAGAGGUUCAAAUUUGAUCAUUUUUUAAAAAGUCAACAAAAGUCAACCCCUAACCAGCUUGGUCAAAACUCGAGGUUCGGACCAAAACUCGAUUACACAUUCACCCCCGAUCCUGAUUAUGUGAUUUGUUUUGAAAUCCGACCUCAAAUUGAGGUCUAAACCUCAAUUUUACAAAAUUCCCAACUUCUACCCAAGUCCCUAAUUUCUACCAUAGAAAUCCUAAAUUUCAUGUUGAAAUCUUAUGAAAAGUAAUAGGAAAUUCAAAGAAACUAGAUUAGAGUUGCUUACCAAUGAUUUUGGGAAGAAAAGUCUCUUGAAAAAUUGCCUCUUACCAAUUUUUCCCUCUUUUACCUAGCUUCAGAUUUCGCAAUUGCGAUGUCUUGUUCGCAAUUGCGACCAACGCAAAUGCGAAGCACAUAUCAUAAAUGCGAACUGUGCAUCAGAAGCCCAUAUGUCACAAAUGCGACAAAAUUGAUCACAAAUACAAAAAACCUAUCUUGGCAAAUGCGGCCAAAUUCUUCACAAUUGUAUUGGUGUUCUAUUUUUUCUAGGCAUCGCAAAUGCUCGCAAAAGCAAUCCGAGACAGUUCGUAAAUGCGAAUUAUUUCCUCAUAAAUGCGAGGUAACCCAAUCCCAAACCUAGCUCGUAAAUGCAAACUUUUGUCCGUAAAAGCGAGGCUCGCAAUUAUGAGCCAUACCUCACAAAUGCAAACACCAAAAACUAGCAGACUACAAACCAUGCAAACUCAUCCGAAACGCAUCCAAAACUCACUUCGAGCCCCUCAGACUCCAAACCAAAUAUGCACACAAGUAUUAACAUUAUAUAAACUCGCUCGCGCGAUUAAAUCAUCAAAAUAACAUUUAAAACUACAAAUCAACCCUCAAAACAAAUGAAAUUUCAAAGGAAAACUCAAGAACAACUAGAAUCAUAACUAAACGUCCGAAUCAUAUUAAAUCAACUCCGAAUUGCACCAAAUUUUGUAGAAAAUUUAAAUAGCAAAACAGACCUAGACCAAGUCCCAAAAUUAAAAUCCGAACCCGAUCACCAAGAAUUAAUCCUACGGUCAAACCUAGGAAAUUUCCAAACUUUCAAGUUUCUAGCUUUCGGCAAAAUGAGCCAAAUCAACCUAGGGACCUCUGAUUUUAAUUUCGGAUAUAUGCCCAAGUACAAAAUUACAAUACAUAUCUAUGAGAAUCGUCAAAAUAUCGAUCCGGGGUUUUUUACACAAAAAUAUUGAUUGUGGUCAACUCAAGGUAUUUGUAAAAUAAAAAAUCACAUUUUCUUCAAAUUUUUACGUAAAACAUUUUCAAAAAGUGACACGGACCAUGCACGUUAAUCAAGAAACAACAAAUAGAGCUAAUGGAGGUCGCAAAACUCAAAAUUAAGGGCUAGUACUCAAAAUGACCUAUCGGGUCGUCACAUUCUCUACCUCUAAAAGAAACGUUCGUCCUCGAACGGACAUAGAAAAGUAUCUGGACUAGUGAAAAGGUAAGGGUAUCUACUAUGCAUAUUGGAUCAGACUCCCAUAUAGCUGCCUUGAUCAGUUAACCUCUCCAAUACACUCUACAAGAAGGAUACUUGUUAGACCUCAACUUUCGAACCUGUUGGGCUAGAAUAGCCACCGGCUCCUCCUCAUAAGUCAAAUCCUUUUCCAAUUGGACUGAGCUGAAAUCUAAUACAUGGGACGGAUCACCAUAAUACUUCUAGAGUAUGGAAACAUGGAACACCGGGUGAACUACCUUUAAGCUGGGCGGAAAUGCAAGUCUAUAGGCCACCUCCCCAACUCUUUCAAGGAUCUCAAAAGGGCUAAUAUACCUAGGGCUCAACUUGCCCUUCUUUUCGAACCUCAUCACACCCUUCAUGGGUGAAACUCUGAGAAAAACUGUCUCCCCCGCCAUAUAAGCUACAUCCUGAACCUUUCGAUCAGUGUAGAUCUUCUUCCUAGACUGGGUUGUACGAAGCUGAUCCUGAAUCAACUUGACUUUCUUCAAGGCAUCCCGAACCAAAUCAGUACCCAACAACCUAGCCUCUUUCGGCUCAAACCAACCAACUAGAGAACCAUACCGCCUACCAUAUAAGGCCUCAUAAGGAGCCAUCUGAAUACUUGAUUGGUAGCUGUUGUUGUAGGAAAACUCAGUAAGCAGUAGAAAAUGAUCCCACGAACCCUUGCAAUCCAUAACACAAGUGCGUAUCAUAUCCUCUAAGAUCUGAAUGGUACGCUCGGACUGGUUAUCCGUCUGGGGGUGAAAUGAUGUAGUCAACUCAACUCGUGUGCCUAACUCACGUUGCAUGGCUCUCCAGAAAUUCAAUGUGAACUGCGUGCCUCGGUCUGAGAUUAUGGACACCGACACAUUGUGAAAACGCACAAUCUCCCGGAUAUAGAUAUGAGCCAGCUGAUAUAAAGAAUAGGUGACCACCACCGGAAUGAAAUGUACAGACUUGGUGAACCAAUCUACAAUGAUCCACACUACGUCAAAUUUCUUCAAAUUCAACAAUAAAAUCCAGGGUAAUAUGCUCCUACUUCCACUCAAGAAUCUCAAGUCUCUAAAGCAAAUCUCCCGGCCUUUGUUGUUCAUACUUCACUUGGUAGCAAUUCAAACACCAAGUCGUAUACUCUACUAUAUCUUUCUUCAUUCUUCUCUACCAAUAAUGUUGUCUCAAAUCCUGAUACAUCUUGGUGGCACCCAGAUGAAUGGAAUAUCGAGAACUCUAGACCUCCUUAAGAAUCAACUCACGAAGCCCAUCCACAUUGGUCAUACAAAUCUGAUCCUACAUCCGCAAAACCGAUCAUAUCUUAUAGAAACCUCCUUGCCAUCAUCGUGCUGCACUAUAUCCUUAAGAAUAAGAAAAUGGAGGUCGUCAUACUUACGCUCUCUGAUGCGCUAGUACAAAGAGAACCGAGAAACCACGCAAGCACAAACUCGGAUGUACUCCAAAACAUCUAACCUCACAAGCCGAUUGGCCAAAGCCUGAACAUCCAAUGCUAGCGGUCUCUGACCAACAGGAAUAUAUGCAAGGCUACACAUACUCUUAGCCUUUUUGUUCAAGGAUCGUUCACUACAUUGGCCUUCUUGGGAUGGUACAAAAUGGUGAUAUCAUAGUCUUUUAAUAGCUCUAACCACCUCCGCUACCUCAAGUUUAGAUCCUUUUUCUUGAACAAGUGUUGUAGACUCUGAUGAUCUGUGAAUACCUCACACGACACGCCAUAGAGGUAAUGCCUCCAAAUAUUCAAUGCAUGAACAAUAGCUACCAACUUUAGAUCAUGAAUAAGGUAGUGUUUCUCAUGAACCUUAAGCUUCCGAGACGCGUAGGCAAUCACCCUAUCAUCUUGUAUUAAUAUCAUGCCAAGCCUAAUACGCGACGCAUUACAAUACACAAUGUAAGACCCCGAACGCAUAGGCAAUACCAACACUAGAGAUGUAAUCAAAGCAGUCUUGAGCUUGUAAAAACUCAACUCAUACUCAUGAGACCACAUGAAUGGAGCACCUUUCUGGGUUAAUCUAGUUAAUGGGGCUGUGAUGGAUGAAAAUCCCUCCAUGAACUUAUGAUAAUAACCCGCCAAACCUAGGAAACUCUAAAUAUCUAUAACUGAAGUAGGUCUAGGCUAGCUAUGGAUUACCUCAAUUUUCUUAGGAUCCAGUUUAAUACCUUCAGACGAUACAACAUGGCCCAAAAAGGCAACUCACACUUUGAAAACUUGGCAAUAACUGACUAUCUCUCAGAGUUUGAAGUAUGAUCUGCAGAUAUUGCUCAUGCUCCUUUCAACUGCAGGAGUAGACCAAAAUAUCAUCAAUGAAGAUAAUCACAAAAGAAUCUAAAUAGGGCUUGAAUACCAGGUUCAUCAAAUCCAUAAAUGUCGCUAUGGCAUUUUUCAAGUCAAAUGACAUCACUAAAAACUCAUAGUGAUCAUUCCGAGUCUGAAAAGCUAUAUUAGGGACAUCCACUGCCUUAAUCUUCAAUUGAUGGUAGAAAGAUAUCAAAUCAAUCUUUAAAAACACUUUGGAACCCUGAAGCUGAUCAAAUAAGUCAUCAAUUCUCGGUAACAGAAACUUGUUCUUGAUAGUGACAUUAUUCAACUGUCGAUAAUCUAUACACAUCAUCAUCGAACCAUCCUUCUUCUUCAUGAAUAACACUAGUUCAUCCCCGGGCGAGACACUGGGUCUAAUGAAUCCAUUAUCAAGAAAAUUAUGCAACUGUUCUUUCAGUUCCUUGAACUCAACUGCGGCCAUACGGUAUUGUGGAAUAGAAAUGGGUUGAGUGCUCGGAGCCUAGUCAAUACAGAAGUCGAUAUCUCUAUCAUGUGGCAUCCCCGACAAACCUGCAUGAAACACCUUUGGAAACUCGCGCACAACUGGUACUGAAUCCAUAGAAGGAACCUCCGCACUAGGAUCACGGGUAUAGGCUAAAUAUGCUAGACAUCCGUUCUUGACCAUAUGCCGAGCCUUCACAUAACAAAUAACUCUGCUGAUAGAAUGGCCAGGAGUCCCCCUCCACUCUAAUCGGAGCAACCCUGACAUGGAUAAAGUCACCGUCUUGACGUGAUAGUCUAAAAUAGUGUGAUAAAUGACAACAAAUCAUGUCUAAGAUAACAUCAAAGUCCACCAUUUCAAGAAGUAGAAGAUCUACACUAGCCUCAAGGCUCCUGAUAGAAAUUACUCAUGUGUGAUAAACAUGAUCUACUAUGAUAGAAUCUCCCACAAGCAUGGACACAUAGACACGAGCACUCAAAGAAUCAUGAGGCAUAACUAGAUAUGAAUCAAAGUAGGAGGACAUGUAUGAAUAAGUAGAACUUAGAUCAAAUAAAAUUUAGGCAUCCCUAUGGAAAAUCGGAACAAUACCUGUGAUGAUGGCGAUAGAUGACUCUACCUCAGGUCUAGCUAGAAAUGCAUAACAACGGGCUGGGCCCUACCACUUUGACAUCCGCCUAUCGAACGACAUCUAAGUAGCUAGCCUCCACUUCUAAUGGCCUGACCUCCACCUCUAGCUGCCUGACCCCUACCUCCUGAUGUAACCUAUACCUCCACACUUAAAACACUCUCUCGGCUGUUGUGGCCGAGACUGACCCUGCUGGCCUGGAUAACCGUUGUAGUAACUCUAUAACGGUGGUGCGCUGAUAAGAUCUGAAGAUGCACUAAAUUCUAGCUGCUCAAGAGGAGACCCAUAAGAACCACGACUGCCCCAAAGCACCAUGGGCUACCUGAAGAGCUAACUGAAUCGGUCUAGAGGGUGGCCCCUUCCAAAAGAACCCCUACCUCCAAAUGAGGCACCAGUAAAACCACCAAAAUGAUGAGGCUUCUUCUCAAACACUGUCUCUCUACCCUGACUACGAUUCAUCUAGAAGGAAAUAUCAUCCACCCUCUCCUUGUCCAUCUGAAGCCUGAUACCGAAAGUAACACCAUCAAUAAACCUCCUCACCCUCUCUCUAUCAGUGAGAAUCAAGAGAGCUGCAUGACGGGCUAGGUCUACAAAUCUGGUCUCAUACUGGGUGACAAUCACGCCACCUUACUAGAGGCGCUCGAACUUCCUACGGUACUCCUCUCUCAGAGUGAAAGGAAUGAACUUCUCCAAAAAUAGCUGCAAGUACCAAUUCCAAGUAAGUGGAGGUGAACUGGCUGGUUUGCUCUUCACAUAAUCCUGCCACCAUUUCUUGGCGAAAUAGGUCAUCUGGAACACUGUGAAGUUGACCUCAUUGGUCUCAACAAUAACCAUGUUGUGCAACACCUCAUGGCAACGAUUCAAAUAAUCAUGUGGGUCUUCAGAAGGUGCACCACUAAAGUAAAAUGGAAAGAGCUUGGUGAACUUAACCAACAUUAUCAAUCUCUUAGAAGACAUUGUGGGCGUCUCCCCGGGCUGUGUAGUAACAACGGGAUGUGAUAUAGGAGAGACAUCUGCUCCAAAGUGUGAAUGGCGGGAGUUGGUGCUCCUUCCUCAGCCUUAGAGACAGUUGGUGCCAUAGGAAAUACUUCGGUCUGAGCAACACUCUCCAUGAGUCCAACAAAGCAGAGUAGAGCGUCCUGAAGUACGAGAGUGACAAUGAAUCCCUCUGGGACCUGAGCGGGUCAGACAGGUGCAAUAUGAACUGGGACCUACUCCUCAAGAUCAAUCUGAGGCUCCAUAAUGGGUGAUGCUAUAUGUGUUUUAGGCUAAGCUCUGCCUCUACCUCGGCCCCGACCCCAAUCCCUGGUAGUGGCUGCAAUAGGGGCUCCAGCUUUUGUCAUGCUGUAGAUGAUGUGCGUGUUCUCACCAUCUGCGAGCAAAUAAGAGUAGAAUGAUUCAAACUUCAGUAAUGGAAUAAAUUCACAUGAUAGAGAAAGAAAGAAGUGAAAUUUUUCUAAAGCCUUAUAUCCUCUGGAAGAUAAGUACAGACGUCUCCGUACUGAUCCUCUAGAAUCUACAAAGCUUGCUCAUGACUCGUGAGACCUAGACGACGGAUGUUUUGAAGCUAAAAUAAAUAGUAAUGAUACAACUGUUUUGAAGCUAAAAUAAAUAGUAAUGAUAGAAUGGAAGCAGCUAUACUUCAAGUCUCCAAACAGUAGCUGAAUCCAAGCUGUCUAGCUACGUGUCGCUGGAACCCACAUGGUAUCAGCACAAGAAGUGCAGAGUCUAGUAUGAGUAUAACCGACCCCAUGUACUUUGUAAGUGUCGAGCCUAACCUCGACAAAGUCGUGACGAGGCUAUGGCAAGUCACUUACAAAUUACCUGUACGAAAGAAUAAUAAUAAUAAUAACAGCACAAUAGGAAUAGAAAUAAAGCAAUUAACUCAGGAUAAUGGAUCUGAAAUUUCAAUUACUAGAGAGCCCAGAAUAACAAACACUCAAGUCUCAUAUCACAAUACCGAAGAUAACUCAACAAUCAAAAAUAAUUUACAACAUAUCUAAUCCGUUGCGGCGCGCAACCCGAUCCCACCAUAUUAUCAUUUAUUCAUAUCGUAAUUUGUCCUUACUCCUUCAUUAAAUUUCAUUACCUUUCAAUUUCCAUUGCGGCAUGCAACCCGCUCCCCAAACAAUCUCAAUCAUUAACAUAAAAAAUUCAACAAUAAUAUUUAAAAAAUAUCUACAUUAAGAAGGCAAAUGUACAAGACAGUAAAGAACCAUAGAAUAAUCAGAGAAUCUCUAAAAUCUCAGACCUUUCUAGUUCAUCGGUACAUAACAGUUAAUCAGCCCACGCAAGUGAGACAACAUUAUAGAGUGCAAUAAUAAUACAAAAAUAAUAGACAAGUAAAAUAUAUGACAAUUAAGAUAUGAAAUUAAGGUAGGUAGAAACAGGUAGCAAAUAAGCAAAAAUAAUGUGGGAAACGAACAAAUUAAGGCAAUGCAAUAAUUAAAUGACAAGUGACAAAUAUAACAUAGAAGUCAAGUAAAGACAUGUAACAAUUAAAGCAUGAAACAAAAGAUACUAUGAAAUAAAAGAAAACAUGGAAAUACAUGUCCAAUUCCUGCAUACUAAAUUCCAUGAUAGCGUGUAUACACUCGUCACCUCGUAUAUAUGUCGUUUUCCUACAUAAUUCACAUAAAAAAUUAUUCAACAAAUCCUAAUUCCCUCAAGUCAAGGUUAGACAUAACACUUACCUCACUCCGCGAACAAAGCCUUCUAUCAACCACGACCUUGCCUUUUUAACAAGCCUCUAAACCAACCAAAUCUAGAAAAUUAUCGAUCAAGAUUCAUAAUAAGCUUUAGGAACUACCCAUUAACGAAAGAGGAUUAAUUUUAAUCAUUUUUGGAAAAAAACGUCAACAAAAGUCAGCCCCGUACCCACUUGGUCCAAACUCAAAGUUCGGAGCAAAACCUGAUUAUCCAUUCACCCCUAAGCCCGAUUAUGUGAUUUGUUUUAAAAUCCAAACUCAAUUUGAGGUCUAAACCUCAAUUUUAUAAAAUCCCUAAUUUAUACCAAAAUUCCUAGUUUCUACCAUGGAAAUCCUAAAUUUAAUGUUGAAAUCUUAUGAAAAGUAAUGGUGAAUUGAAAGAAAGUAGAUUAGUUACUUACCAAUGAUUUUGGAAAGAAAAGUCUCUUAAAAAAAUGUCUCUAGAGGGUUGAGAAAUGUGAACUUUUGUCCUAAAAAAUGAGGCUCGCAAUUGCAAGUCAGACCUCGCAAAUGCGAGAUCUGCAACUGAAUACCAGAAACCAGCAGACUCCAAACCAUGCAAACUCAUCUGAAACGUGUCCAAAACUCAACUGAGCUCCUCGGGCUCAAACAAAACAUACACAAGUGUAAUAACAUCAUACUAACUUGCUCGCACGAUCAAAUCAUCAAAACAACACCUAAAACUAAAAAUCAACCCUCAAAAUAAAUGAAAUUUCAAAGGGAAACUCAAGAACAACUAGAAUCACAGCUAAACGUCUGAAUCAUAUCAAAUCAACUCUGAAUUGUAUCAAAUUUUGCAAAAAAAAAAGUUUCAAAUAACAAAAUGGACCUACACCAAGUCCCAAAAUCAAAAUUCGAACUCGAUAUCCCAUAACUCAACUUACAGUUAAACCUAGGAAAUUUUCAAACUUUUCAAACUUCUAGCUGUUGGCAAAAUGAGUCAAAUCAACCUAGGAACCUUCAAUUUCAAUUUCCGCCAUACGCGCAAAUCUAAAAUCAUAAUACGGACCUACCAGAAUAAUCAAAAUACCGAUCCAGGAUUGUUUACACAAAAAUAUUGAAUGUGGCCAACUCAAGUUAUUUUUAAAGUCAAAAAUUAUAUUUUCUUCAAAUUUUUAUGUAAAAGCUUUUUAAAAAAUGACACGGACCACACACACAAAUCAAGAAAUACCAAAUGGAGCUAACGAAGAUCUCGAGCUCAAAAUUAGGGGAUAGUACUCAAAAUGACAUAUUGGGUCGUCACAUGUAUUUUUCAAGAAAAUAACACAAUAAUAUGAUAUGAGUCAUAGCAUUAUACUAAAAUAUUCAAUAACAAAGAUAAUAAAAUAUUAUAAAAAAAUAUUACUAAUUUAUAAGCCAUAAUAAAAAUUAACAUAAUCUAAAAAAACUAUAUAGAUCAUGUUAAAAAAAGUACAACUAAUAAGUAUUGUUAAUUACACAACUAAGAACUAAAAAAAAGAUAAAUGUGAUUUUUGAUUAAGGUUACAAGAGAGAAAAAUUACACCUCUCUCCAUUCUCUAGCCAAAUAUCACUAACAUGGCCACACCUCCACCCCCUGCGGAGGAUCCAUCCUAAAAAAUCCUACCGGAACCACUAGACCCUGUCACACCUCCUUUACUACCCCCGAAAGGGUGUAAGGGAGUUUUUUCCAAUUUAAGUGACGAUCGAAACAUGAUUAUUUCAUUAAAAUUCAGAGUCACCACUUGGGAUAAUUUAUGGUGUCCCAAGUCACCGGUUUAAAUCCCGAAUCGAGGAAAGAUUGACUCUGUUUUACAGUUUGCGAACACAGAAAUUCGGGUAAGGAUUUCUGUUAACCCACAAGAAGGUGUUAGGCAUUCCUGGGUUCCGUGGUUUUAGCACGGUCGCUCAACUAUUAUUAUUGGCCUAUUUAUUUGAUUUUAAAACAUCUUUGAAACCUAUGUGCAUUUUAUCCCUUUAAAGUCGCUUUUAUUAAUCUAAUUAUCAUACAACUAAUUACUUUGGUUACACAUUACGAAUUAUAUCACGGGAACCGUACCCACAAUCCACAACAUAUUUAUUUUAUUAACAAGAUUAAAUUGGCCGGGUCACAUAAAUGUGCCCCCGGAUUUUAGAAAUUAAGCAUCACAACUACGUCACGGGAACCAUACCCGUAGCCAUGACAAUUAUUUAAUUAACGUGCCUAAAGCAAACUACGACGUUCAAGACUUGUCACUAAACUGACUUGAGAUGACUUGUAAAGGCCAAAGUUAUGGAUGUUAUUGUAUAUCAAUGGUAUUGAUAAGUUAUUAAAGAUAGCUACAACUUUACAAAUUACUAAAGUUUACAUCUUGAUGUCAUUUAACGUCAUGGGCCUGUUAGCAGGGAAUCCGUUUGGCCUAUUUGAAGCUAAAGGUUAUUUAAUUGAAGUCACCUAUUAAGAAAGAAAGGAAAAAGAACUUGCAAUAAUGAGGGAUAAAGCAUCAUAUCAGAUAAAAUAUAUUCACUGCCAACAGACAAGUAAUUAGCCAAAUUCAAACAUCUUGAAAGACAAAAUCCUGUUGAAAUCGAUUAAAACCCAGGUUGUGUUAAUAAAAAUUAUUCACUCUAAAUCAUUAAUCUAAUGCAUUUAAUAGCUCAUCAUUUUUUUUCUUUAUGGAAGUUAUCUAAAUUUUAAAGAUACAACAUAACAAUAAAAUUAGAAUGGAGGACUACGGAAAAUAAUUGGAAUAAGCACAAAGUCCAGACAUGUCCACUUAAAUGUCCUUUUGAAACUACGCUCAACAAAAGGCUAUGUAAAAUUAGUAAAGAUCAGCUCAAAUAAUAAUUAAACAAAUUUCAUACAUACGGACAAUGAGAAAUCAUGAACGGAGUAAGAGACGAACCCCCAAUUAUCACUAAUUAUUUUGCUUUAUAUUGGUUCAUCUAGGCUUUACUCACAUAAAUAAGAUCAAAAUAAAGACCAUAGGAGUAGAGAUGAACCUGUUAAUUCGAAAUUCUUUUAAUAAUAGUAUAUGAAUACAAUGUUUUACUCCAAAAUUACAACUGAAAACAGCAACAAUAUCGAGCAGAAACCACGAGCUAAAUCAAAAUCGCGAACCUCAGAUGGAAAAUUGAAUCGGCCUUCAGCAGAAGAAAGCGAAGAACAGAGAGCAAGUGUCCUUGCUUUGGAAUCCAAAAAUGGGAAAGGAGAAGCCGAUCUAUUUUCCUUUUAGCUUGCCAUUCAAUUGAAAAAGAGAGGUGAAAGCUAUAUUUACAUGGCUGCUGGUGAAAACUUCCCUAUUCAGAGGGGAGAGGCGCUAGGUUAUAGCUCUUUUAGAAAUGGGAUAUGUCGUUUUUUGGGGUCCCCCUGUCCUUAGGUCUAGGGUAUAUUUGUUUUAUAGGGGUUUUAGGUUAGGGGUAUGGGCCUAGGAAUUAUGGGCUUGAGAAUGAUGGGUUAGGUCCAAAAUUAGGCCUAAAAAUGGGUAGCUCGAGCCCAAGUUUUAUUCUUUCCCCGCGAACGAGACUAAAAAUACGUUCUCAUUUAUUAAUUAAUCCUACUUAAGUAAAAUAACUAUUAAAAUAAGACUAACUGUUAAAACAAAACUAUUUUUGGUAUUUCUCAAGAUUAAAAAUGAUUACAAAACAUUAAUGAAACUAUUUUUGUAAUUUUUAUUUUCUUGUAAUAAAAUAAAGUAAAAGAGUAAGAAUUAGUUGAAAUAGCUAUAUUAGGCCUAAAUUAAAUAUUUACAUGCUAAAAUAUAAAAAAUCUUGGGGAGGGUCAAAAAUCACAUGUCUACAGCUGCCCCUCUUUCACUGGAAACGCGAAGAGUUUUCGGACAAAGAACGACUAGACAGGUAUUUUGACCCGACCCUUAUUUAAGAAGACCAAAACUAAGAGAAAAGGGGAAUGGGACCGAGCCUUGGUAUCUGAUUUGCCUACAUAUCCUUGGCUAUAAAGGAAUUAGGCCAUGUGUAGUUCAGAGGUGAGUGAAAUGAUGGAGUACACCGAGGUGGAGAGUCAGUCGAGGUGCCGUUCCGCCGAGGUUCCGGUCCGCGGUCCUGUUAUUACAUCAAAAAUCAAAACACUAAAAAGACUAGAUAAGCCUAUCGACUACGAGUUACAAGAUUCCUAUCUAUAAGUCCUCUGAAGCUUGAUCUUGAGUCUUUAGUGGUUCUUCAUGCGGACUUUAGAUUUGAACCUUGACGCUUGCUAUUUGUAGGUGCUAGUUCAUCCUUCUUCAGCUUUUCGGAUCAAGACCAGACAUACCAUGCUUGUGACUUCAACCAUAUCUUGAGAAGCUCACAUUUUCAUCAACUUCUGCGCCUGGAUUCACUUCUUGUCUUUCUCUUUUGUUUUUUUUCUCUUUAUUGUGACUAACUUCUAUUGAUCACCUCGGACUGUUGACUCGCAUUCUUGUCGCGAGCUUCUUUUGUUGCUGAUGUGAAUUGCAUUCUAAAGUGAAUUCUCUUAUUCUCCAAGUAGGCGUCUGAUUGCCAAUACUUGACCUAUCUUCCUUCGAAACUUGUUGCUUUCCCUUUGUUCUCCAAGUGGGAUCCUGAUUACCAACACUUGCAUUGCUUUUCCUCGAAACUUGAACUGCUUCCCUUUGUUCUUCAUGCGGGCUCCUGAUUACUAAACUCCUUUGAACCUUGCUGCUUUCCCUUUGUUCUUCAGGUGGGCUCCUGAUUACCAACACUUGUGCCUCUUUUCCUCGAAAUUUGAACUGUUUUCCCUUUGUUCUCCAGGUGGGCUUCUGAUUGCUGAAUUUGAACUACUUCCUCUUGAGACUGCUUUUCCUUUGAACUGUCUUUCCUUGCUCUCCAGGGGGGUUGCUUGAUUGCCGAACUUGAUCCUCUUUCCUUUGAACUUGUGCCGUCCUCCCUUUGUUCUCCAGGUGGGUGCCUGAUUUCAUUAAAAAAACAAAACAAAUAAAAUUUUCUGCCCCAGUUUGCAUUAGGAAGAUUUGUGAGUUGUUAGCAAUAUUGUAAACCACUUAUACUAUUGAUGCAACGAUGAGUGUAAACUAAUGACUAGACUAGGAUGUGCGUCUCCUAUGAGUAAAACAGAAAACUUUGACUAGCAAAUGCAUUUGGUAAAAAUAAAACAUGAAUGAACCAAACUGGGAGGUGCGUCUCCUAGGGGUGAAACUUGAAUGAACCAAACUAGGAAGUGCGUCUCCUAUGAAUGAACUCUCAAUUUAGGAAGUGCAUCUCCUAAAAGAAUAACUUUAAAGACCUUGAUUAGGAAGUGCGUCUCCUACAGGUAAAACUUCAAUGAACUAGACUAGGAAGUGCGUCUCCUGGGGCAAACUUAAAUGACUCAAACUAGGAAGUGCGUCUCUUAGGGAUGAAAUAUCAAUUUAGGAAGUGCAUCUCCUAACACAAAAUAUAACUUGGCAGACCCAGACUAAGAAGUGCAUCUCCUAUGGGUGAAACUUCAAUGGCUCAAGUGCGUCUCCUAUGGAUGAAACUUCAAUGGCUCAAGUUAGGAUGUGCGACUCCUAGGGGUGAAAUCUCAAUUUAGGAAGUACGUCUCCUAACACAAAAUAUAACUUGACAGACCCAGACUAGGAAGUGUGUCUCCUAGGGGUGAAACAUCAAUGACUCAAACUAGGAAGUGUGUCUCCUAUGAACGAACUUAAAUGAACCAAAUUAGGAAGUGCGUCUCCUAGGGGAAGAAUGUCAACUUAGGAAGUGCGUUUCCUGAAAAUGUAUCCUGAAAAACCCAGACUAGGAAGUGCAUCUCCUAAGGGUAAAACUUUAAUGCUUAGAACUAGGAAUUGCAUCUCCUAGGGGAAAGCUCAAUGUAGGAAGUUCGUCUCCUAAAACAAAAAUAUAACCUGAAAAACCCAGACUAGGAAGUGCGUCUCCUAGGGGUGAAACUUUAAUGGCUCAAACUAGGAAGUGUAUCUCCUAUAAAUGAACUCUCAGUUUAGGAAAUGUGUUUCCUAAAGGUGUAACUUCAAUGACUCAAACUAGGAAGUGCAUCUCCUAUGAAUGAACUCUCAAUUUAGGAAAUGCGUCUCCUAUGAAUGAACUCUCAAUUUAGGAAGUGCAUCUCCUAAAGGUGUAACUUCAAUGACUCAAACUAGGAAGUGUGUCUCCUAUGAAUGAACUCUCCACUUAGGAAGUGCACCUCCUACAACAAAAUAUAACUUGAAAACCCAGACUAGGAAAUGCUUUUCCUGGUGGUGAUGUAUGAUCUUCUAAAUAGCCUUUGCGUAAGCAGAAUUGGGGCAUUAUCCUGAAAAUUUCAACCUUCCAAGCUUUGAUAUGAGCAUAGCUUCCAUCCCUAUAUCAGACAAAGAAAACUUAUGAGUUUAAACAUGGUGGUUGGUUUGUGGCCUUGACUUUGCGGCGAUUGCUCCUUCACUUGCCAUGAUAACUUUGAUUUCACCUUGAAAGACAUUGCUUGCUUAUUGACUAACCAAUUUCUCUGUCACUCUUAUCACAGAAAUACCUUUGAUAUCACCCAACAUCCUCUACCUAUUGUUCAUGAAUUGAUAUAUACCAAACCUUUGUAUUUCACAUGAAUCCCAAAGCAUGUUGAUUGUUAACAACUCGGUGCGCACGUUGUUCUUUCCUGACUUAUGCCACUUUGAUGUGCUAGCCAAAUUCUUUUUUGUACGAUUGGAAAGUUGGUAGCAAAUUUUGAAGUCAUUUCUCACUUGUUCUAACCAAAUAGACUAAAGAAGGGGAAGAAAACAAAACAAAAGGAACAGAGUAAGGACUAUGGAAAGAGAUGAUUCCUAACAAGAAAACUAAACACUUAUCAGAUGUGGAUACCAACUUUAAUGACCAUGACAUGCACUUUUGGAUUAAAUGGCCUAAUCUGCCAAGCAAGUCCGAUGUUCAACUCUUAUUGUACCUCUUCACCGUGAAAUCGGGCUUCAAUGCUCCGAUUUUCCAAUCUGAUUCACGAUCCUUAUUCGACUUGUAGUUCCCAAAGGGUUUUCACCAUCAAGCCUCUCUCAUUUUGUUCUUUCUCUCAACUUACCGUCGCCUUAUGGCGCCUGUGAAGGUUUUCACCGAUAAGACUCUCUCAUUUUUAUUUUCCUUGUGUAGCACGGAGUGCUUCCCCUGGUGCAAACAUACCUCUGUCUCGCUUGACUUGGCAUUCUCAAGUAUUGGUCAGAAGGUCUUUCUUUGGAUCGUAAUGUAGACUUUUGGAUAGGGUUAGAAAGAAAGGAUUUCAAAAGGCUCAAAAAAACAUGAAUGAGUUCAAAAUUACAACUCGUGGAAUCAGAUUUCUUACAACAAUCACAACUUCUGUCCCAGUUUCUUUGCCUGGGGGCUUUUGGAUUUUUAUUUUGAUGGGACCGAACCGUGAGGCUACCUACGUAUUCUUAAAAGGAAUAAGGUCGAACGUAGUUCAUGACAUAGGAAUUGCUUCGUUUUUGUACUUUUCUCUCUUUUUUUUUCUUCUUUUUCUCUUUUUCCUUUUCUUUUAUUUUCUUUACUCUUUUUCCAUUUUUUCUUUCUCUUUUUCUCUUUUUCUCUUUUUUCUUUCCGUUUUCUUUCCCUUUUCUCUGUAUCAUAUUUCUAAUCUCUGUUUUUAUUCCAAAAUAGGGAUGUGAAAGAAAAUAAAUAAGGCUCAAAAGGAUGACAAAGGAUAAAAUGUUUAGAUAACAGAAUAAAAUGCCUUCGUCAUUCCAAUCUUCAAAGCAUGCCAAACACAAACAACACAAUUAAACAAACCAAAGAAAUCAUACGUAAUAUCUUUUGACUACAUCAGAAUCGAUAGCCAUAUCCACAAAUUUGCCUUCUGCAUUUGUCAAAUACAAAGCACCAUUGGACAACACUCUCGUUACCACGAACGAUCCCUGCCAAUUUGGGGCAAACUUGCCUUUAGCUUCAACCCGAUGCGGCAUGAUACAUUUCAAUAAGGUUUCUUUAUGUUCUAUCUGCCCCAGUUUCACACAAUUCAGGCUUGAAGUGAUCUCAAAAUUCCUUUACUUAUUUCCCUCAAAUGUCCUUAUCAUCUUCAAAAUUGUUUCAUUGCUUCAUGAUUAAACUAACUUUACGACCAGGCUUGGAAUUAUGCGUGCAUGUCAUGUCACUAGAGCCAGCCAUAAAGGAACUAUAAAAAGAAAAGAGAACAAAACAAAAAAUGACUAGAAAUAACAUAAAACAAAAAAUUACAUUAGACAGAUGGUGAAAGAGUUUGAACAACAAAACAAGUAAAAUAAACUGGGGUUACAACCCUGGAACAAACCUAGAUAACACUAAAAGAUUUACGACGAAAAGACAAACUAGGCAAAAUAAAAGGAUAGAAGGGUUUGAAUCACAAGACAAUAUCCGGAUUACAACCCUAAAAAUAACCCAGACAACAGAAAUGACAUCAAAAUAAACCACCAAGACUCCUCUCCAGCUAGCCAAGAGAUAGAGCGUCUUUCCAAUUACCAAGCACGACAUCUUAGCCACUGGGUUCUACAUCAACAUUGCCAAAACCAUUAACAACUUCAAUAUCAUUAACUUCAGUCAGCAAGUUCCCAAGAGGAUUCGCAUCCCUCUCAUUGUUAUUGAUCACAAUUAGCCUUUCUUGAAUCAUUCUUUCUAUUUCCCUUUUCAAAGAAUGACAAUCUUCAAUGCUAUGCCCUUGGACAUUAGAGUGGUACAUGCAUUGUACAGUAGGAUCAAAGCCUUUUGCAUAUGGGUCUGGAGUAUAGCCUAGUAGCGGCUCAAUCGAGCCAGAAUGCUUUAACUUUUCAAACAAGCUUGUGUAGGACUCCCCAAUUGGCGUGAAACUAUUUCUUUGUCUUUGUUCUCUUCCCUGCCCCUGUUUCGUAGGGUUGUUGGGUGCUCGAAAAUGUUGUGAAGUCAAGAAUACAUUAUGCGCUGAUGAUGCUCACCAUAGGGAGAGACCUGGUUGUUGGACAGAUGACCGGACAUUGUUCGGAGGAUAAUACUGAGGUGGAUUAUGUGGAGCUCGGUGAUAGGUUUGGGGUUGGAGUUGAGGCUGGGUAUAUUGGUGAGGCAGGACCUUUGGUCCAUGUCGUGACUCUAAAACAACCAUGGCAACAUCAUCGUGUUCCUUCUGACCCCGCAAGCUUCUUAUGUCAUUCGGAAUUGCUUGUGUUGUUGCUUUUAAAGUAGAAUAGCUCAUGAUCUUGCUCGACUUCAACCCAUCUUCUACCAUUUCUCCCAUUUUUACCACAUCAUUAAAAGGCCUACCCACAUCCGUGAUUAAAUGCCCAAACUAAGUUGGCUCUUGAGCUUGGAGAAAGUACUCGACCAUCUCUUUUUAUUCCAUUGGGGGAUUCACUCUGGUAGCUUGUUCUCUCCAUCUAAGCCUGUAUUCCCCAAAGCUUUCAUUAGGCUUCUUUUCCAUCUUGGUGAGGGACAUGUGAUCCGGGACAAUUUCUAUAUUAUACUGAAAGUGCCUGGCAAAGGCCUGAGCCAUAUCAUCCCACGUGUACCACCUGCUAGCAUCUUGGCGGGUGUACCACUCCAGAGUUGCCCCACUCAGACUUUGACUGAAAUGCGCCAUCAAUAAUUUGUCUUUCCCACCGGCGCCUCUCAUCUUACUGCAGUAGCCUCUCAAAUGGGCCACGGGAUAUCCAUGUCCGUCAUAUAAAUCAAACUUUGGCAUCUUAAUCCCAUCAGGAAGUUGGACGUCAGGAAACAAGCACAAGUCAUUGUAAGUCACGCUCAUCUGGCUCCCUAUCCCUUACAUGUUUCUUAAAGACUGCUCUAAGAUUUUCACCUUCCUGGAUAUCUCAUCUUGCUCCACUGUCUUAGCAGGUUUUUAAGUUUCACCGGGAGGCUCAAAAUGAGGAAUGUGAGAAUAUGGAUCCAAGACAUUGAAAGUUGGUUUCCGAGCACAGUGUUAGGCAUUGGGGACUUUGAACAUAGUCUCGUUAGAGGAUCGAGGAAAAAUAGCUAGUAGAAGAGUUGCAAGAGCAUGAGUGGCCAAAGGAGUGGGAUACGAGGUGGUUUUGGCGGGUAGAGUGUGAAAAGGUCAUGGGGAGAUAUCAGCAGCAGUGAGAAUCUGGAUUUGUGGUAGUGGUGGGAUAGUUGCAGGGUUUUCAGUGUAGUUAGUGGGGAAUGAAGGUGGAGGAUGCCCCCUGAUCCAAGAUUGAUACAUUUCUGCCAUCUAUUGUUUCACCCUUUGGACCUCCUCUUUUAAUUCAGACUCCGACUCCACAAACUCCCUUGACGGGUCAACAACUCUUGUGCCCAAGUUUUUGAUAGCCAUGGCUACCUUGCCCUUUGACCUUGUGUUGUAUGGACGAGUUACCUUAAGAACCACGAACCAACCACCCUUCUGCUAUAAUGAGGAGAACAAAGAGGAACAAAGUGAAGUCAUCAUGUUAGCGUUAGGGCAUUUAACAGCUAAAAAUAUCACAUUUCGUGCAAUGCACCUAGCAACAAUUAACAGUUCAAGAAUGACUUCGAGGGUCACAAGGUCACCUGGCAUCAUCCCAAUUUGUCCAUUUGAAUCUUCUCUUUUCUUUUCUAUGCUCACACUUCUUAGCUCACUCAUUUUCUUUCCUCUUUUUUUUCUAUCUGAUUAUCGCUCUUUUCUUCCCUCUCAUUUCUCACAUCUCAUGAUUUCAUUUUUUUGGUUGUUUUUUAUUUUAUUUUAUUUUUCUCUUUUUUUCUUUUAAUAAUAAAAAAAAAUGAUUCGAUCGAACCCUAUGUAGGUUGCCUACGUAUCAUGACGCCACAUGAAUCAGAUCUUUGCGUAGUUCGGGAAAAUUGAGAAUAAAGUAAACAAACUAACAUUCUCUUUUCUUUUUCUUUUUCUUUAAUGACUACUCUGAUGAGAAAAGAGAAACAAAAGAAACAAAUCUUUUUUAUUAUUUUUCUAGACUGUAUGUUCUAUAACCUAUUCUGAACUCAAGCCUAACGAGCAUGUAUUAUUUUUGAAACAAAUACUCUAUGGAAAAUUAUUAAGGAAAAAUUUCUAGAAGAGAAAAAUAUAUAUAUUUUUUGAUUCUUUUUUUUAGGAAGGAAAUCUAAAGAAUAAAUCAAAGAAAACUAUUUUGAAUUUUCACUUGAUAUCCUGAAGAAAGAUUGCGAAACGAGAAAUGAACAAGAUAAAAAAAAGUAUUUGGAUUUCAAUUUUUGAUUACCUAAAGAUGAAACUUUAGAGAUAAACAAAGGACAAAGUAUGUUUUUUUUCUCCUAUGUACAAUAUCAUAAAAUUGAAGUGAAAAAUAGAAAGAAUAUAUUUUUUUUUGUUUUAUUAAUUUCCGCAAUAAGAACCUCAAAGGAAAAUCUUUUUGGAUUUUGGAAUUAAUAUCUUAAAGAAAACUUGUAAAGAGAUAUAAAAAGAGAAAAAUCCCAUUUUUUGAGUUUUUAGUCCUAGUAUCCUAAAAGAAAUAUAAAAGAUUUUUUGUUUUUGUUUUUGAGUUCUAGAUAUUAAUUUUCUAAAGGAAAAACCACCUCAAAAGAAUUAGUAUUCUAAAAGAAAAAUUCUAACAGAAAAUUAUAAAAACGCGAAAACUUGUCACACCUCCUUUUUACCUACACCCCCGUAAAGGGGUAUAUAGGGGAGUAUUUUUCCAACUUAAAGUGACAAUCGAAACGAGAUAUAUUUAUUUUAAAAUUCAGAGUCUCCACUUAGGAUAAUUUAUGGUGUCCCAAGUCACCGGUUAAAUCCCGAAUCGAGGAAAAGAUUGACUCUGUUUUUACAGUCCGCGAACCAGAAAUUCAGGUAAGGAAUUUUGUUAACCCGGGAGAAGGUAUUAGGCAUUCCCGAGUUCCGUGGUUCUAGCACGGUCGCUCAACUAUUAUAAUUUGCCUAUUAUCUGAUUUUAGUACAUGUUUUAGCCUAUGGUGCAAUUUUAACUUUAUUAGCCGCUUUUAAUUAUUUUUAAGGAAAAUUGCAACGUCAUUUAAAAUACACCUCGAACCACGUCACAUAAAUGCACCCGCAGUCCUCGGCAUAUUUUAUCUAACAAUGUUGAGAUUUGCAUUUGGGUCACAUAAAUGUGCACCCGAGUUUAGGAAGGUAAAUUAUUAAAAUAGCGUGCCUAAAGCUACUAUGCAUUUUUAAACUUGCGAGGGUCAUGACAAUUCAACUAAAUGGCACGCCUCGAUUUCUAAGGAUUCAAGUAUUAAUUAAGCGAGGGCCGUGCGUUUUAAGAUUUUUAUUUGGCACGGCACACCUCGGUUCCAACUUUUUAAAGGAAAUUCAAAACCAAACUUUCGAGGGCCAUAACUACUCUUCACAAUUAAUGUUGUCACUACUUAAAACUGCAUCAUGUUAUUAACGUAAUAAUCAACACAUUCCAUACGUACUCAUGUGCAUGACAAAUUAUUGCAACCAGAAUCAGGUAGAUGAACAAAACUCAACAUAAACUAACCAAAGUUUCAUUCAUGAAUUCGAAUAAGUGCAGAAAGGUGAAUGUUUCGACUAAGUAGGCUAGAAUAAGUAGUAAGCGAGAACAAUAUUGUACGUGAACCAAUACUCUCAGGCAAUUAAGCAUAAAUCCAUCGUAAUGGCCCUACGGCAACACAAGAUCCCAACAAUUAAAGAGAUAAACAAUAACCUGAAUAAUUACAAACAACUAUUACCAGCCCAUUUCCUUUAAACUAAACAAGAUUUAGACGUAUUAAAUCUAACACACCACCAAUAAGCAGUAAACCAGCACAAAUAAGCAGUAAAGCCAAACAAACAUGUGGGGGAGUUCAAGAUUCAACGUUGAAAAUGUACCCAAACAUUGAAGCAACUAAGAAGGGAUUAGAAUGGACCUGAGAUAUAUUUUUUUUAAAAUGGAAUCUGAAAAUGCUUAACGAAACUCGACGGAGCUCAACAACGGACCUCGAUGGUACCACGACCUUGGACUUUAUGUUUCCAAACUCAAAUGACGAUAAAAGACGAAGCCAGAACCUACUGGGUCGAAAGCUAACUUUGGUAACGAUUGAGGCUGCUUUCAAUCGGGUUUCAGUAGAAUAGGAGCGAACCUCCAGCUGCUCCUUGUUUGACGAAACGUGGUGCUCGGACAAGAGAAUUAAUGCAGAAGGAACAAGGAACGAACAUAAAAGAGAGGGAGACGCAGUUAGAAUUUUGGAGUUGGAGAAAUGGUAUUUGGUUAGUCAGCGGCGCGUCUGGAACUCGUUAAUCCGACGAGCUGGUGGAGCUCGUUUUUUCGGCGAGUUUCAGGCAGAGAUGGAGGUCAUUUGAUGAUUAAUGUUCGGGGUCGUUGGCGUUUUUCCGGUGAGCUGGGGUCAUCUGACUCACCGCUUGAGAGAUAUGACUGUGUUGUUGCUGUUGGUUCAAGAAGAAGAACGGGGGAGGGGUCUUAUAAAAGAGACGGGAAUCUAGGGGGGUGGGGGGUCGUGAAGAAGACGACACAGGGGGUGGGGUUCGUUGGUGCGCAGCCUUUUCAGUUGCUGCUUUCAGAUUUUUUGUUCGUUCUCAGCCUUCUUCUUCGUUAUUCAUGCGCAACUUUUUGCUGCUUUUCGUUCCAGCUCCUUCUUCGUUAUUCAUGCGUAGCUUUUGCUGCUUUUCGUUCCUGCCUUUUUCCGUUCUUUUUUUCGUUUUUUUUUUGCUUUUUUGUUUGUUCGUUCUCUUCAUGCGCAGCUUUUGCUGCUUUUUGUUCUUCUCCUUUUCCUUUAGUCUUAAACAUUCUUUUAUAGUGUAGAGUCUAGGUUGUAGGGUUUUAGGUUAGAGGUAUGGGCCUAGGAAUUAUGGGUUUGGCAAUUAUGGGCUAGGUCCAAAAUUAGGCCUAAAGAUGGGUUGCUCGAGCCCAAAGCUCUAUUCUUUUCGCUGCGAACGAGAUUAAAAAUACGGGCCCAUUUAUUAAUUAUUCCUACUAUUAAAAUAAUUAUUAAAAUAAAAUAUCAAAUUAAAAUAAAAAUACGAUACUAUUGUUGUAUAUAUUUUUUAAGAUUUUUUUUAGAUUAAAAAUUACUACAAACAUUAAUNNNNNNNNNNNNNNNNNNNNNNNNNNNNNNNNNNNNNNNNNNNNNNNNNNNNNNNNNNNNNNNNNNNNNNNNNNNNNNNNNNNNNNNNNNNNNNNNNNNNNNNNNNNNNNNNNNNNNNNNNNNNNNNNNNNNNNNNNNNNNNNNNNNNNNNNNNNNNNNNNNNNNNNNNNNNNNNNNNNNNNNNNNNNNNNNNNNNNNNNNNNNNNNNNNNNNNNNNNNNNNNNNNNNNNNNNNNNNNNNNNNNNNNNNNNNNNNNNNNNNNNNNNNNNNNNNNNNNNNNNNNNNNNNNNNNNNNNNNNNNNNNNNNNNNNNNNNNNNNNNNNNNNNNNNNNNNNNNNNNNNNNNNNNNNNNNNNNNNNNNNNNNNNNNNNNNNNNNNNNNNNNNNNNNNNNNNNNNNNNNNNNNNNNNNNNNNNNNNNNNNNNNNNNNNNNNNNNNNNNNNNNNNNNNNNNNNNNNNNNNNNNNNNNNNNNNNNNNNNNNNNNNNNNNNNNNNNNNNNNNNNNNNNNNNNNNNNNNNNNNNNNNNNNNNNNNNNNNNNNNNNNNNNNNNNNNNNNNNNNNNNNNNNNNNNNNNNNNNNNNNNNNNNNNNNNNNNNNNNNNNNNNNNNNNNNNNNNNNNNNNNNNNNNNNNNNNNNNNNNNNNNNNNNNNNNNNNNNNNNNNNNNNNNNAAACCUAUGUGCAUUUUAUCCAUUUAAAGUCGCUUUUAUUAAUCUAAUUAUCAUACAACUAAUUACUUUGGCUACACAUUGCGAAUUAUAUCACGGGAACCGUACCCAAAAUCCACAACAUAUUUAUUUUAUUAACAAGAUUAAAUUGGUCGGGUCACAUAAAUGUGCCCCCCGAUUUUAGAAAUUAAGCAUCACAACAACGUCACAGGAACCGUACCCGUAGCCAUGACAAUUAUUUAAUUAACGUGCCUAAAGCAAACUACGACGUUCAAGACUUGUCACUAAACUGACUUGAGAUGACUUAUAAAGGCCAAAGUUAUGGAUGUUGUCGUAGAUCAAUGGUAUUGCUAAAUUAUUAAAGAUAGCUACAACUUAACAAGUUGCUAAAGUUUACAUCUUGAAAUCAUUUAACGUCAUGGGCUUGUUAGCAGGGAAUCCAUUUGGCCUAUUUGAAGCUAAAAGUUAUUUAAUUGAAGUCACUUAUUAAGAAAGAAAGGAAAAAUAACUUGCAAUAAUGAGGGAUAAAGCAUCAUAUUAGAUAAAAUAUAUUCACUGCCAAUAGACAAGUAAUUAGCCAAAUUCAAUCUUAAGACAAAAUCCUGUUGAAAUCGAUUAAAACCCAGGUUGUGUUAAUAAAAAUUAUUCACUCUAAAUCAUUAAUCUAAUGCAUUUAAUAGCUCAUCCUUUUUUUUCUUUAUGGAAGUUAUCUAAAUUUUAAAGAUACAACAUAACAAUAAAAUUAGAAUGGAGGACUACGGGAAAUAAUUGGAAUAAGCACAAAGUUCAGACAUGUCCACUUAAAUGUCCUUUUGAAACUACGCUCAACAGAAGGCUAUGUAAAAUUAGUAAAGAUCAGCUCAAAGAAUAACUAAACAAAAUUCAUACAUAUGGACAAUGAGAAAUCAUGAACGGAGUAAGAGACGAACCCCCAAUUAUCACUAAUUAUUUUGCUCUAUAUUGGUUCAUCUAGGCUUUACUCAUAUAAAUAAGAUCAAAAUAAAGACCAUAGGAGUAGAGAAGAACCUGUUAAUUCGAAAUUCUUUUAAUAAUAGUAGAGGAAUACAAUGUUUUACUCCAAAAUUCCAACUGAAAACAGCAACAAUAUCGAGCAGAAACCGUGAGCUAAAUCAAAAUCACGAACCUCGGAUGAAAAAUUGAAUCGGCCUUCAGCAAAAGAAAGCGAAGAAUAGAGAGCAAGUGUCCUUGCUUUGGAAUCAAAAAAUGGGAGAGGAGCAGCCGAUCUAUUUUCCUUUUAGCUUGUCAUUCAAUUGAAAAAGAGAGGUGAAAGCUAUAUUUACAUGGCUGCUGGUGAAAACUUCCCAAUUCAGAGGGGAGAGGUGCUAGGUUGUAGCUCUUUUGGAAAUGGGAUAUGCCGUUUUUU